GACGAACGCUGGCGGCGUGCCUAAUACAUGCAAGUUGAGCGCUGAAGGUUGGUACUUGUACCAACUGGAUGAGCAGCGAACGGGUGAGUAACGCGUGGGGAAUCUGCCUUUGAGCGGGGGACAACAUUUGGAAACGAAUGCUAAUACCGCAUAAAAACUUUAAACACAAGUUUUAAGUUUGAAAGAUGCAAUUGCAUCACUCAAAGAUGAUCCCGCGUUGUAUUAGCUAGUUGGUGAGGUAAAGGCUCACCAAGGCGAUGAUACAUAGCCGACCUGAGAGGGGGGUCCGCCAACAUGGGGACUGGGACCCGGCCCAACCCCUUCCGGGAGGAGCAGGAAGGAAAUCUUCGGCAAUGAACGAAAGCCUGACGGGGAACGGCGGCGGGAUUAAGGAAGGUUUUCGGUCCGUAAAACUUGGUGGGUAGGGAGAACGGUGGGGGAGAUUGAAAGGCCAAUAAAGUACGGGUAACAACCAGAAAGGGACGGCUAACUACGUG
This 497-nucleotide ribosomal RNA is filed under the name uncultured bacterium. RNAcentral's name for it is "partial 16S ribosomal RNA". It matches the Rfam family "Bacterial small subunit ribosomal RNA", at positions 28 to 507 of the family's 1533-position model. The record is from RNAcentral.